AGAGAGAAGCGAGGUUCUCGUUCUGAGGGACAGGCUUGAGAUCGGCUGAAGAGAGCGGGCCCAGGCUCUGUGAGGAGGCAAGGGAGGUGAGAACCUUGCUCUCAGAGGGUGACUCAAGUCAACACAGGGAACCCCUCUUUUCUACAGACACAGUGGGUCGCAGGAUCUGACAAGAGUCCAGGAGCUCCAGGGACUGUGAGGUGAGGCCUUGGUCUAAGGCAGUGUUUUCAGGUCACAGAGCAGAAAGGGCCCAGACAGUGCCAGGAGUCAAGGUUCUCAGGGGACAGGGAGAGCAAGAGGUCAAGAGCUGUGGGACACCACAGAGCAGCACUGAAGGAGAAGACCUGCCUGUGGGUCCCCAUCGCCCAAGUCCUGCCCACACUCCCACCUGCUACCCUGAUCAGAGUCAUCAUGCCUCGAGCUCCAAAGCGUCAGCGCUGCAUGCCUGAAGAAGAUCUUCAAUCCCAAACAUCAUGCACUAUCCUGUUGGGAGCAUCCUCACCUCCAAGACACUGUUUGGGCCUGAGGAGAAGGAGUCUGCAGUGACCCUGUCGUGGUAUUUUCCACAAGAAUUCUGAAAUGAAGCAAGCACAGGAAACUAAAGAAAGAAG
This is a long non-coding RNA of Homo sapiens (human), 611 nucleotides long. Lineage: Eukaryota; Metazoa; Chordata; Mammalia; Primates; Hominidae. The record is from Ensembl.